Molecule: ribosomal RNA, 496 nt
Filed under: uncultured bacterium
Lineage: Bacteria
Description: partial 16S ribosomal RNA
Rfam family: Bacterial small subunit ribosomal RNA
Source: RNAcentral
GAUGAACGCUAGCGGCAGGCCUAACACAUGCAAGUCGAGGGGUAGAGGUUGCUUGCAACCUUGAGACCGGCGCACGGGUGCGUAACGCGUAUGCAAUCCGCCUUGUACUGAGGGAUAGCCCAGAGAAGUUUGGAUUAAUACCUUAUAGUAUCUUUUCCCGGCAUCGGGAGAUUAUUAAAGUUCCAACGGUACAAGAUGAGCAUGCGUCCCAUUAGCUAGUUGGUAUGGUAACGGCAUACCAAGGCAAUGAUGGGUAGGGGUCCUGAGAGGGAGAUCCCCAACACGGGUACUGAGACAGGGACCAGACUCCUACGGGGGGCAGCAGUGAGGAAUAUUGGUCAAUGGGCGCAAGCCUGAACCAGCCAUGCCGCGUGCAGGAUGAAGCAUCUAUGGUGCGUAAACUGCUUUUAUACGGGAAGAAACACCGGUUCGUGAACCGGCUUGACGGUACCGUAAGAAUAAGGAUCGGCUAACUCCGUGCCAGCAGCCGCGGUAA